This 274-nucleotide transfer-messenger RNA is filed under the name Sphingobacteriaceae bacterium. RNAcentral's name for it is "partial transfer-messenger RNA". It matches the Rfam family "transfer-messenger RNA", at positions 92 to 374 of the family's 374-position model. Rfam says of the family: Bacterial tmRNA, also known as 10Sa RNA or SsrA, is named for its dual tRNA and mRNA-like properties. The record is from RNAcentral. Lineage: Bacteria; Pseudomonadati; Bacteroidota; Sphingobacteriia; Sphingobacteriales; Sphingobacteriaceae.
UGGCGAAAAUAACUACGCCUUAGCUGCCUAACUUAGAGUUAGAUUAGCUUUCGUUCCGAUGGUUUGCGGUUUCUUAGAGCCAUCAUCAGGAACGUCGAAAUAAGAAACUGGUUUGCUGCCGGUGUGAUCAGCGAACGAGAUAAAGCACCUACGGAAAACGGUACAGGUUCGCGGCUGACCUUCCCUUUCCCGACAAUUUAACAGCAGAUAAGCAUGUAGAAGGCUUACCUUAUACCAUGUUUGGACGAGAGUUCGAAUCUCUCCGGGUCCACCU